UGCUUUACCAUUUUUCUUUUAAGUGUAUGUAUAUGUAUGCUUAUACUAUUAUUAUGUGAGGUUACUUCUGAUCCAAGAAUGUCAUUUCUUAGAUGUAUCCCUGCUAUUUCAUUUGGUUUUUGUACCCUUCUUCCUCAUGCUAACAUUGUAUAAUAAUCCCUCACUGUAUGGUGUCUGAAAAUUCUGCGCUUUUUUAACUCUUUCCAAAACGAUUUGAUUUUUGUGAUACCUAUCAUAUUGAGAUAAUGCUAGCUUUUACAAUUGUACUCAGCUCCUAUACGUAGAAGUCCAAUCUUUUGCUUUUAUUUACAGUAGCCUUUGCCAUACUAUAAGCUAUUAUUAAGAUGUUUGUUUGCCUUGGUUUCCCAUUUUUGAUUGAGGCGCAUCCUUUUCUUUGUGUGACUGAAAAGUUCUAGGUUCUGGAUGUUCAUUAAUUUUAUUUUCAUUUACUUGGUGCAGAUUGAGAAAUUUA
RNAcentral lists this unclassified non-coding RNA (472 nucleotides) under Hevea brasiliensis (rubber tree). The record is from RNAcentral. Lineage: Eukaryota; Viridiplantae; Streptophyta; Magnoliopsida; Malpighiales; Euphorbiaceae.